AGAGUUUGAUCCUGGCUCAGGAUGAACGCUGGCGGUCUGCUUAACACAUGCAAGUCGAACGCAUCUUUCGGGGUGAGUGGCGGACGGGUGAGUAACGCGUGAGAAUCUGCCUAGAGGUCGGGGACAACCAUUGGAAACGAUGGCUAAUACCGGAUAUGCCUUACGGGGUGAAAGAUUAAUUGCCUUUAGAAGAGCUCGCGUCUGAUUAGCUAGUUGGUAGGGUAAAAGCCUACCAAGGCAUCGAUCAGUAGCUGGUCUGAGAGGAUGAUCAGCCACAUUGGGACUGAGACACGGCCCAAACUCCUACGGGAGGCAGCAGUGGGGAAUAUUGAACAAUGGGCGCAAGCCUGAUCCAGCCAUGCCGCGUGAGUGAUGAAGGCCUUAGGGUUGUAAAGCUCUUUCGGCGGGGACGAUAAUGACGGUACCCGCAGAAGAAGCCCCGGCUAACUUCGUGCCAGCAGCCGCGGUAAUACGAAGGGGGCUAGCGUUGUUCGGAAUCACUGGGCGUAAAGGGCGCGUAGGCGGCUUGAUAAGUCGGGGGUGAAAGCCUGUGGCUCAACCACAGAAUUGCCUUCGAUACUGUCUGGCUUGAGACCGGAAGAGGUAAGUGGAACUGCGAGUGUAGAGGUGAAAUUCGUAGAUAUUCGCAAGAACACCAGUGGCGAAGGCGGCUUACUGGUCCGGUUCUGACGCUGAGGCGCGAAAGCGUGGGGAGCAAACAGGAUUAGAUACCCCCGUAGUCC
This 743-nucleotide ribosomal RNA is filed under the name uncultured Hyphomicrobiales bacterium. RNAcentral describes it as "bacterial SSU rRNA". It matches the Rfam family "Bacterial small subunit ribosomal RNA", at positions 8 to 796 of the family's 1533-position model. The record is from RNAcentral. Lineage: Bacteria; Pseudomonadati; Pseudomonadota; Alphaproteobacteria; Hyphomicrobiales.